This 587-nucleotide ribosomal RNA is filed under the name uncultured bacterium. RNAcentral's name for it is "bacterial SSU rRNA". It matches the Rfam family "Bacterial small subunit ribosomal RNA", at positions 338 to 916 of the family's 1533-position model. The record is from RNAcentral.
CCUACGGGAGGCAGCAGUGGGGAAUUUUGGACAAUGGGGGCAACCCUGAUCCAGCCAUUCCGCGUGAGUGAAGAAGGCCUUCGGGUUGUAAAGCUCUUUCGCAAGGGAAGAAAACUUAUGAUCGAAUAAAUCAUGAGGUUGACGGUACCUUGAUAAGAAGCACCGGCUAACUACGUGCCAGCAGCCGCGGUAAUACGUAGGGUGCGAGCGUUAAUCGGAAUUACUGGGCGUAAAGCGUGCGCAGGCGGUUUUGUAAGUCGGAUGUGAAAUCCCCGGGCUCAACCUGGGAACUGCGUUCGAAACUGCAAGGCUAGAGUGUGUCAGAGGGGGGUAGAAUUCCACGUGUAGCAGUGAAAUGCGUAGAGAUGUGGAGGAAUACCAAUGGCGAAGGCGGCCCCCUGGGAUAACACUGACGCUCAUGCACGAAAGCGUGGGGAGCAAACAGGAUUAGAUACCCUGGUAGUCCACGCCCUAAACGAUGUCAACUAGUUGUUGGUAGAGUAAAAUCUAUGAGUAACGUAGCUAACGCGUGAAGUUGACCGCCUGGGGAGUACGGUCGCAAGAUUAAAACUCAAAUGAAUUGACGG